Molecule: ribosomal RNA, 390 nt
Filed under: Cryothecomonas sp.
Lineage: Eukaryota; Cercozoa; Thecofilosea; Cryomonadida; Protaspidae
Description: partial small subunit ribosomal RNA
Rfam family: Eukaryotic small subunit ribosomal RNA
Source: RNAcentral
AUUCCAGCUCCAAGAGCGUAUAUUAAAGUUGUUGCAGUUAAAAAGCUCGUAGUUGGAUUUCUGGUACAACGCGCCUGGCCCGCUUAUGUGAGUGCCGGUGCGCGUUUGCCAUCCUUCUAGAAAACGUUUCUACCCGGGCAACUGGGCCGGACUCGCGAUCUAGAUCUUUUACUUUGAAAAAAUUAGAGUGUUUAAAGCAGGCUUUUGCUGUGAAUACAUUAGCAUGGAAUAAUAAUCUAGGACUUCGGUUCUAUUUUGUUGGUUUCUAGUACUGAAGUAAUGAUUGAUAGGGAUAGUUGGGGGUGCUAGUAUUGGCCGGCCAGAGGUGAAAUUCUUGGAUUCGGUCAAGACUAACUUAUGCGAAAGCAUUCACCAAGGAUGUCUUCAUUA